This 472-nucleotide ribosomal RNA is filed under the name uncultured bacterium. RNAcentral describes it as "partial 16S ribosomal RNA". It matches the Rfam family "Bacterial small subunit ribosomal RNA", at positions 28 to 507 of the family's 1533-position model. The record is from RNAcentral.
GACGAACGCUGGCGGCGUGCUCAACACAUGCAAGUCGAACGCUGAAGCUUGGUGCUUGCACUGGGUGGAUGAGUGGCGAACGGGUGAGUAAUACGUGAGUAACCUGCCCUUGACUCUGGGAUAAGCCUGGGAAACUGGGUCUAAUACUGGAUACGACAUGUCACCGCAUGGUGGUGUGUGGAAAGGGUUUUACUGGUUUUGGAUGGGCUCACGGCCUAUCAGCUUGUUGGUGGGGUAAUGGCUCACCAAGGCGACGACGGGUAGCCGGCCUGAGAGGGUGACCGGCCACACUGGGACUGAGACACGGCCCAGACUCCUACGGGAGGCAGCAGUGGGGAAUAUUGCACAAUGGGCGGAAGCCUGAUGCAGCGACGCCGCGUGAGGGAUGACGGCCUUCGGGUUGUAAACCUCUUUCAGCACGGAAGAAGCGAAAGUGACGGUACGUGCAGAAGAAGCGCCGGCUAACUACGUG